AGAGUUUGAUCCUGGCUCAGGAUGAACGCUAGCGGCAGGCCUAAUACAUGCAAGUCAAGGGGUAGCAAUACACCGGCGGACGGGUGCGUAACGCGUACAGAACAUACCCUUAAGCGGGGGAUAGCAUUGGGAAACUGGUGGUAAUACCCCAUAACAUUCGAGAUUUGGCAUCAAAUUUCAAUUAAAGUUCCGGCGCUUAAGGAUUGCUGUGCGUCCGAUUAGCUAGUUGGUGGGGUAACGGCCCACCAAGGCGACGAUCGGUAGGGGGUGUGAGAGCAUGACCCCCCACACGGGUACUGAGGCACGGACCCGACUCCUACGGGAGGCAGCAGUAAGGAAUAUUGGACAAUGGAGGCAACUCUGAUCCAGCCAUGCCGUGUGAAGGAUGAAGGCGCUCAGCGUUGAAAACUUCUUUUGGAUAGGAACAAAACACCCGAUGCGUCGGGUACUGAGGGUACUAUCAGAAUAAGCACCGGCUAACUCCGUGCCAGCAGCCGCGGUAAUACGGAGGGUGCAAGCGUUAUCCGGAAUCACUGGGUUUAAAGGGUGCGUAGGCGGCUCGAUAA
RNAcentral lists this ribosomal RNA (566 nucleotides) under uncultured freshwater bacterium. RNAcentral describes it as "bacterial SSU rRNA". It matches the Rfam family "Bacterial small subunit ribosomal RNA", at positions 8 to 586 of the family's 1533-position model. The record is from RNAcentral.